RNAcentral lists this ribosomal RNA (484 nucleotides) under Flavobacterium sp. DB4.3-3. Its description in RNAcentral is "bacterial SSU rRNA". It matches the Rfam family "Bacterial small subunit ribosomal RNA", at positions 11 to 496 of the family's 1533-position model. The record is from RNAcentral. Lineage: Bacteria; Pseudomonadati; Bacteroidota; Flavobacteriia; Flavobacteriales; Flavobacteriaceae.
GUUUGAUCCUGGCUCAGGAUGAACGCUAGCGGCAGGCUUAACACAUGCAAGUCGAGGGGUAUGCUUCUUCGGAAGUAGAGACCGGCGCACGGGUGCGUAACGCGUAUGCAAUCUACCUUUUACAGAGGGAUAGCCCAGAGAAAUUUGGAUUAAUACCUCAUAGUAUUAUUAAAUGGCAUCAUUUAAUAAUUAAAGUCACAACGGUAAAAGAUGAGCAUGCGUCCCAUUAGCUAGUUGGUAAGGUAACGGCUUACCAAGGCUACGAUGGGUAGGGGUCCUGAGAGGGAGAUCCCCCACACUGGUACUGAGACACGGACCAGACUCCUACGGGAGGCAGCAGUGAGGAAUAUUGGACAAUGGGCGCAAGCCUGAUCCAGCCAUGCCGCGUGCAGGAUGACGGUCCUAUGGAUUGUAAACUGCUUUUAUACAGGAAGAAACCCUGGUUCGUGAACCAGCUUGACGGUACUGUAAGAAUAAGGAUCGG